GAUGAACGCUGGCGGCGUGCUUAACACAUGCAAGUCGAACGGGAAUUACUUUAUUGAAACUUCGGUCGAUAUGAUUUAAUUCUAGUGGCGGACGGGUGAGUAACGCGUGGGUAACCUGCCUUAUACAGGGGGAUAACAGUCAGAAAUGACUGCUAAUACCGCAUAAGCGCACAGAGCUGCAUGGCUCGGUGUGAAAAACUCCGGUGGUAUAAGAUGGACCCGCGUUGGAUUAGCUAGUUGGUGAGGUAACGGCCCACCAAGGCGACGAUCCAUAGCCGGCCUGAGAGGGUGAACGGCCACAUUGGGACUGAGACACGGCCCAGACUCCUACGGGAGGCAGCAGUGGGGAAUAUUGCACAAUGGGGGAAACCCUGAUGCAGCGACGCCGCGUGAAGGAAGAAGUAUCUCGGUAUGUAAACUUCUAUCAGCAGGGAAGAAAAUGACGGUACCUGACUAAGAAGCCCCGGCUAACUA
This 474-nucleotide ribosomal RNA is filed under the name uncultured bacterium. RNAcentral's name for it is "bacterial SSU rRNA". It matches the Rfam family "Bacterial small subunit ribosomal RNA", at positions 28 to 503 of the family's 1533-position model. The record is from RNAcentral.